Molecule: ribosomal RNA, 475 nt
Filed under: uncultured bacterium
Lineage: Bacteria
Description: SSU rRNA
Rfam family: Bacterial small subunit ribosomal RNA
Source: RNAcentral
AGGACGAACGCUGGCGGCGUGCUUAACACAUGCAAGUCGAGCGGAAAGGCCCUUCGGGGUACUCGAGCGGCGAACGGGUGAGUAACACGUGAGUAAUCUGCCCCUAGCUCUGGGAUAGCUCCGGGAAACCGGGAUUAAUACCGGAUACGACCACCUUAGACAUCUUUUGUGGUGGAAAGAAUUUCGGCUAGGGAUGAGCUCGCGGCCUAUCAGCUUGUUGGUGGGGUAACGGCCUACCAAGGCGACGACGGGUAGCCGGCCUGAGAGGGCGACCGGCCACGACUGGGACUGAGACACGGCCCAGACUCCUACGGGAGGCAGCAGUGGGGAAUAUUGCGCAAUGGGCGAAAGCCUGACGCAGCGACGCCGCGUGGGGGAUGAAGGCCUUCGGGUUGUAAACCCCUUUCAGCAGGGACGAAGCGAAAGUGACGGUACCUGCAGAAGAAGCGCCGGCUAACUACGUGCCAGCAGCCGC